Molecule: ribosomal RNA, 472 nt
Filed under: uncultured bacterium
Lineage: Bacteria
Description: partial 16S ribosomal RNA
Rfam family: Bacterial small subunit ribosomal RNA
Source: RNAcentral
GACGAACGCUGGCGGCGUGCUUAACACAUGCAAGUCGAACGCUGAAGCUUGGUGCUUGCCCUGGGUGGAUGAGUGGCGAACGGGUGAGUAAUACGUGAGUAACCUGCCCUUGACUCUGGGAUAAGCCUGGGAAACUGGGUCUAAUACUGGAUACGACAUGUCACCGCAUGGUGGUGUGUGGAAAGGGUUUUACUGGUUUUGGAUGGGCUCACGGCCUAUCAGCUUGUUGGUGGGGUAAUGGCUCACCAAGGCGACGACGGGUAGCCGGCCUGAGAGGGUGACCGGCCACACUGGGACUGAGACACGGCCCAGACUCCUACGGGAGGCAGCAGUGGGGAAUAUUGCACAAUGGGCGGAAGCCUGAUGCAGCGACGCCGCGUGAGGGAAGACGGCCUUCGGGUUGUAAACCUCUUUCAGCACGGAAGGAGCGAAAGUGACGGUACGUGCAGAAGAAGCGCCGGCUAACUACGUG